GUAUCUGAAAAACAGUCUGAAAGAAAUACCUGUAACUUGGCGUUUAUUUGCAUGUGCACAUUGUGAGGGCAACAUAUCAUUUUUAUUGCAGUGUGAACUGUGAAUUAAUAGUUGCGUUUGAAUCAAUUCACUGCUGUAUUAGCAGCCAGUGAAACGUAUCUCACGGCCAUCAUUAUCAUCAAGUGGUAUGCAAGAUGAUACAAGAUAAGAUCUGAAAUUUUCUCAGGUGUAAUAUUAACAGGAACCCGACCAUUUGGAAAAUUAAAUAAUCGCAUACAGUGAAGGACAGCUUAUAUAUUAGAUUAUACUGCUUUUUUUGCACCAUGCAAAUAUUUUUGUUUUUACAGUCUAAGUAACUGCAGUGUGCCUUUUUCCCCCAGAGUGCCCUCUCUCUGUGAGGGACCUCAAGCUUCACUUUGACAUCACAAGUUACUUUCACUCAGUGAGUCUGUGAUGUUUAUCUGUUUGCCAUAUCAGUGACCAGCCUGGACGGAUCUCUUCAUUAUCACCUACUUAGUACAUACUUGUCUGCUGUCAGACAGCUACUUUAGUCUUGUCUAGUCAUAUUCCCUAAUAGUUUUUGAGUGCUCGUUGGUUUGUUUUCAUUGGAGCGUACAGCCACACUUUAAACGUGCAGUGUCUUUGCAGGCCUGUUCCAGUGUCUGACAAAAAUGAUCGGAAUUACAAUUACAAAGGAGAUCCAUGAUUUCUUGCAGCCUGUCAUGUCCUCAGCGUCCUUGACGCCCAAAUGAUAAUCAUGGAUAUGGAUCUCGUAACUUUCACUUGAGGCUUUGCCGGAAAAUGCUGAUGCAAGAAGGGCUCUGAAUCUCCAUCCCUUUUUCCCAUUGGCUCAUUGUCUCCUCCCACAGUGCAGUCACGAGGUCUAACAUUAUGAUGAUGUCUGGAGAAAACAGGCUUUCAUCUCGGCUGUAAUGCGUCUUGAGCUACAAUGAAAUGAUAUUCUGGGUUAUUUCUGUUGCACACAGAGUCAAUUUUGAGUAAUGUUUCAAAGCAUUGCUCUGUACGAGAGCAUCACCUACCAUUGUCUGUCGUAAACAUUGGGUUGUUUGCCUCACCAGCCUCUGCUGCGUCAUGACGCAGUUUUCCUUUGAG
RNAcentral lists this long non-coding RNA (1113 nucleotides) under Scophthalmus maximus (turbot). Its description in RNAcentral is "lncRNA (ENSSMAG00000023023.1)". Lineage: Eukaryota; Metazoa; Chordata; Actinopteri; Pleuronectiformes; Scophthalmidae. The record is from RNAcentral.